This 1227-nucleotide long non-coding RNA is filed under the name Pogona vitticeps (central bearded dragon). RNAcentral describes it as "lncRNA (ENSPVIG00000005727.1)". Lineage: Eukaryota; Metazoa; Chordata; Lepidosauria; Squamata; Agamidae. The record is from RNAcentral.
AUGGCCUCCAAGGCCCCUCGAUCCCCCAAGGUCACUUUUAAAAGCUGUGCGGCCUGUGGGAAGAAAAUCCCUUCCACGGACGGUCACCGUUUGUGUUUAUUUUGCCUUGGAGAGUCACACGUUCCUCAAUCCUGUCGACAUUGCGAAAGUUUUACCAAGCAGGGGUUGAGACUUAGAGAACAGCGCCUACGCGCAGCUCUUUGGGAGAAAUUGUUGCAACCUCCAGAUAUGGCGGCAACUGCUUCAGCCAUGGUUCCUGACCCUUUACCGGACUUAAAAUCCAAGGGGAAGGCUAAAGCUUCUAAAGGCAAAGCCAAGGCUAAACCGUCGCCCAAACCAUCGAAAGCCGAGGUUCUGGCCUCGCCACCCCCUCCGCCUCCGCGGGCCACUCCUAUUCUAGUGCCACCAACGUCUCCAUCAUUGCCGGUGCUGACCCCACAGUCUCCUAUUGAAAUCCCUUCCCAGGGUUCCUCGCCGCCAUCUUCUCCUUCUCUGCAGGUUCCAUUUCCACCUACACCGAUGCUACCUUCGUCUCCUAGAAAGAAGAAAGCGAAGACCAAGCAUUUGGUACCAUCUGCUGGAGAUUCCCGGUCUCCGAGACAAUCGGGACCGAAGGUCUCCCCCCAUGGGGCUCGACAUUCUUGCCCCAAAAACAAGAGGCAUGCGUUACCGCACGACACACCGCCUCUUAAGCUCUCCAAGAGCUAUCUUAAGAAAUGGAGAAAGCAGAUGCAAAAGCUAUACGACCCGCGCCUUCUGUAUAGCCUUGCUACUCAUGAUUCGUCUUCGGACUCUUCUUCGUCUUUGUCGGAUUCCUCUGACGGAUUUUCGUCCCCUCUGGUAUCACUUUCUCCCGAUACCAGCAAAAAGAGACACCGCUCGGUACCGGUCAAUCCUCCAGUACCGAAGAAAGCGAAACACGGCUAUCCACCCAGCUUUCCAAUGCCACCCUGUCCGCCAAUACCGACGAACGACGACCCGUCCUACCCAAUUCCCCGGGACGGUACUGUACCUUCCGGUACUGACCCUACCGGUACCGCACCUCACAAACGGAAGCGUUCUAACCCCGCAGCGCCGUCGAUACCGCAACCAAAGAAGAAACACCGUCACCUCUCAUCUGAUUCUGACUCAUUCCAAUUGGAUCAGAUCGGUACCGACCGGGACUCCGAUACCGAUGAUGGCCCCGAUACCGGUAACACAAACCCUCAAGAUACCGGUGCUCCAUAG